RNAcentral lists this ribosomal RNA (274 nucleotides) under Ips cembrae. RNAcentral's name for it is "partial large subunit ribosomal RNA". The stretch from base 1 to 161 matches the Rfam family "Bacterial large subunit ribosomal RNA", at positions 2481 to 2643 of the family's 2925-position model. The record is from RNAcentral. Lineage: Eukaryota; Metazoa; Arthropoda; Insecta; Coleoptera; Curculionidae.
CGUAAUUUUUCUUAGAGUUCAAAUCGAAGAAAAAGUUUGCGACCUCGAUGUUGGAUUAAAAUAAAUUUUUGGUGUAGAAGCUAAAAUAUUAGGUCUGUUCGACCUUUAAAAUUUUACAUGAUCUGAGUUUAGACCGGCGUGAGCCAGGUCGGUUUCUAUCUUUAUAGAAUAAAAAUAUUUUAGUACGAAAGGACCAAAUAUUUCUUUUUUAAAAGUUAAAAAUUUUUGGAUAUUACUAAAAUAAAAUAUUAUAAAAAAUAAUUUUAAUUGUUAU